GACGAACGCUGGCGGCGUGCUUAACACAUGCAAGUCGAACGGAAAGGCCCUGCUUUUGUGGGGUGCUCGAGUGGCGAACGGGUGAGUAACACGUGAGUAACCUGCCCUUGACUUUGGGAUAACUUCAGGAAACUGGGGCUAAUACCGGAUAGGAGCUCCUGCUGCAUGGUGGGGGUUGGAAAGUUUCGGCGGUUGGGGAUGGACUCGCGGCUUAUCAGCUUGUUGGUGGGGUAGUGGCUUACCAAGGCUUUGACGGGUAGCCGGCCUGAGAGGGUGUCCGGCCACAUUGGGACUGAGAUACGGCCCAGACUCCUACGGGAGGCAGCAGUGGGGAAUAUUGCACAAUGGGCGGAAGCCUGAUGCAGCAACGCCGCGUGCGGGAUGACGACCUUCGGGUUGUAAACCGCUUUCGCCUGUGACGAAGCGUGAGUGACGGUAAUGGGUAAAGAAGCACCGGCUAACUACGUG
RNAcentral lists this ribosomal RNA (468 nucleotides) under uncultured bacterium. RNAcentral describes it as "partial 16S ribosomal RNA". It matches the Rfam family "Bacterial small subunit ribosomal RNA", at positions 28 to 507 of the family's 1533-position model. The record is from RNAcentral.